RNAcentral lists this transfer RNA (72 nucleotides) under Sphaerodactylus townsendi. RNAcentral describes it as "tRNA-Thr". It matches the Rfam family "tRNA". Rfam says of the family: Transfer RNA (tRNA) molecules are approximately 80 nucleotides in length. Their secondary structure includes four short double-helical elements and three loops (D, anti-codon, and T loops). Lineage: Eukaryota; Metazoa; Chordata; Lepidosauria; Squamata; Sphaerodactylidae. The record is from RNAcentral.
GUGGCUGUGGCUUAGUGGAAGAACCUCUGCUUAGUGCACAGAAGGUCGCAGGUUCAAUCCCUGGCAUCUACA